UUCUGUCUCCAGGCUAAUGGCUAAGUACUGAGGGCUUCAUCUAUCUAAAAGGAGUUAUUUCCAUCUGAAUUUGGCAGCACCGGGACACAGCAGCAGAGCGAGUCCACAUCCAGAAGACUGGAGCCGUGUUUCACUGACAGGCUGUCAGACUAACGCCCUGAUGAGCUCAGCUGGGACAAACUGGUCUGAUGUUUAGGAACACAGAACGUUCAGAUGUUGGCAUUUCACGUCACCUACUGAGGAAGGAGACCCACCAGUAAAGAGACGGUCUGGACCAGACCAAAAAUAUGGCGAUGACAUCAUGGAACUGGUCUUUGGAAAAGUUUUCCCUGAACCAACUCCGUUUCUAGAUGAGGACCAGUUUGAAGCCCACAUACUGCCCCUCCCUCAUCAUCAGGAAACAUCAAUCCGUAUCCUGAGGACAACAGAAGACGGCAGGAGGACAGGAACUCUGAGACCUAGACACCACCAGCACCGAGACACAAAGCACCUGUGUGCACAACGCCUGUUUUAACUACUAAAGCCUGUUUAUUAUAUUGUUCUACUUAUUUGCUGUGAGGUUAAUACUUAGAAAAUUUGUAUAUUAAUGUAAACAAUAAAAAAAAUCACUGAUUGUAUGCUUUCUUUUAGAUGUAAUGGUCCAAACUCAGCCUUGUAGACAUUUAUUGCAUCCUGUAGGUAAAUACACAGAACAGGCUCAGGUCCAGGAUGACCCAGCAUGCUCUUCUUCCAUUCUGGCUGUUAGGGAUUGUAUCAAUAACUCAAUGCCUACUGAUGUUUUCACCUAACGGUAUUUAUUUAGAAUGCAGGUAAGAUUUAACUAUAUUUGUUAGCAAAGCAGACUGAUCUUGGGAAUUUCACUGCAGCACUGAUGUCCACCUCUCUGUACACAUUAGAGAGAAUUACCACUUUACAGCUAAACACAUUUAAUAAAGAUAUAGGCUACGCAUUGCAGACAAUAAAAACAAAGUUGUAAGCAUUAGAAUUAUAAUGAUGACAUUAAAGAACACUUGGAGGAAUGUUCUUUAUUUUUGACUAGAAUCUCAAAUCUUUAAAUUAAAAUGUAACUGCUUUUUAUCCAUUUUCAGCCAUUAAGACACCCAAUAUAAAAUAAGACUACUUAUAAAAUUAUUUAUAAUUAUAUGUAUGUAUAUAGAUAGAGAUCUUAAUAAAAUAUAUUCUUUGAA
This is a non-coding RNA of Nothobranchius furzeri (turquoise killifish), 1187 nucleotides long. The record is from RefSeq and is a predicted model, not a curated record. Lineage: Eukaryota; Metazoa; Chordata; Actinopteri; Cyprinodontiformes; Nothobranchiidae.